This 54-nucleotide small RNA is filed under the name Fictibacillus enclensis. RNAcentral describes it as "Bacillus sp. NIOC03 Bacillus-plasmid RNA". It matches the Rfam family "Bacillus-plasmid RNA". The record is from Rfam by way of RNAcentral. Lineage: Bacteria; Bacillati; Bacillota; Bacilli; Caryophanales; Fictibacillaceae.
UCUGUCAAUGGUACCGGAGCGCAGCGAGGAUAAGAAAUUGACAGAUGAACUUGU